This 226-nucleotide ribosomal RNA is filed under the name uncultured archaeon. RNAcentral's name for it is "partial 16S ribosomal RNA". It matches the Rfam family "Archaeal small subunit ribosomal RNA", at positions 1133 to 1357 of the family's 1478-position model. The record is from RNAcentral.
GGGCAACGGUAGGUCAGUAUGCUCCGAAUGCUAUGGGCUACACGCGCAAUACAAAGGACAGGACAAUGGGCUGCUGCUCCGAAAGGAAUGAUAGCUAUCCCGAAACCUGUUCGUAGUUCGGAUUGAGGGCCGUAACUCGCCCUCAUGAAGCUGGAUUAGGUAGUAAUCGCGUCUCAAAAAGGCGCGGUGAAUAUGCCCCUGCUCCUUGCACACACCGCCCGUCAAA